ACGGAAUAGAUACCCAGGUAGUCCACGCCCUAAACGAUGUCUACUAGUUGUUGGUGGAGUAAAAUCCAUGAGUAAACGCAGCUAAACGCGUGAAGUAGACCGCCUGGGGAGUACGGUCGCAAGAUUAAAAACUCAAAUGAAUUGACGGGGGCCCGCACAAGCGGUGGAUUAUGUGGAUUAAUUCGAUGCAACGCGAAAACCUUAACCUGGCCUUGACAUGUAACGAACUUUCCAGAGAUGGAUUGGUGCUCGAAAGAGAACGUUAACACAGGUGCUGCAUGGCUGUCGUCAGCUCGUGUCGUGAGAUGUUGGGUUAAGUCCCGCAACGAGCGCAACCCUUGCCAUUAAUUGCCAUCAUUAGUUGGGCACUUUAAUGGGACUGCCGGUGACAAACCGGACGGAAGGUGGGGAUGACGUCAAGUCCUCAUGGCCCUUAUGGUCCAGGGCUUCACAC
RNAcentral lists this ribosomal RNA (454 nucleotides) under uncultured bacterium. RNAcentral's name for it is "bacterial SSU rRNA". It matches the Rfam family "Bacterial small subunit ribosomal RNA", at positions 772 to 1221 of the family's 1533-position model. The record is from RNAcentral.